RNAcentral lists this unclassified non-coding RNA (763 nucleotides) under Hevea brasiliensis (rubber tree). The record is from RNAcentral. Lineage: Eukaryota; Viridiplantae; Streptophyta; Magnoliopsida; Malpighiales; Euphorbiaceae.
CUAUAUAUAUAUAUAUAUAUAUCAAUUGAAAAAAAUUUCCAAAUCAAGGAUCAAUAUGUAACUAAAUGAAGAAAUGGAGAAAGAAGGGUUUGCUUUCAGAAAAUGUAGUGAAGUUACAUAUGGAAUAUUGAUAUGCUUCUCUCUGCUUAUAUAUAUAUGUAGGGCUAAUGUGAGAAGACAAAGGAGGUGCUGGAACAAGAAAAUUGUUUACUUAAUUAGGAGUUGGUUAUAGAUUUGGGAGUAAAGGGACAUGCAUAUCCAGAGAUUCAAAGAUGAAGCAAAAAUUUACGUGUGGGGUUUUUUUAAACGCGAGGUGGUUCAAGUGUUCGGACAGAAAAUUUACCCUAGGGCUUUAAUUAGGUGAAGAACAUCCCAUGAAAGGUGGAAGAACUGGGAUUUCAUCUGUUAAUUUUGCACAGUUGCCAAUGUAUAGAGAAUGCAAAGUUCAAGGUACAAAAAGCAUAGUGUCUGAGUAGUUCUAUCACAUAAAGAGAGUUACUGAUCUUAUUAUUCUCAGAUGGACCAGCAGGUAGAUUUUUUUCGUAUUUUUUAAAAUCCCAAAGCCCACAAAUCAUGCAAAAAGGAGAGGAGGAAGGUGGGUUGGAGAUGAUUAAUUAGGAGAAGAAAAAAAUAUAAAUUAAAGAGUUAAAUAAAGGAAAGAUAUGUCUUAAAGUAGAGAAAAAGAAAAAGGAAAACCCUAGCCUAAGGACCCAUAUUGCUCUCCCUUCUCAAGAGUCCAGCUUAGAAUAAAAGUGAAAGGUUG